CAACCCUCGAACCCCUCCGGGGGUCCGGCGUUGGGGAUCGGGAACCCCUAAGACGGGAUCCCGGCCCCGAAAUACAGUGGCGGUCUCGCCGCAGCCUCUCAUGCGCAGUAGUUUGCACAACUCGCACCGGGAGCGCGGCGCGUCCACGUCCGUAAAACACCCAACUUCUGAAA
This 173-nucleotide unclassified non-coding RNA is filed under the name Trichoderma koningii. RNAcentral describes it as "partial internal transcribed spacer 2". Lineage: Eukaryota; Fungi; Ascomycota; Sordariomycetes; Hypocreales; Hypocreaceae. RNAcentral also lists the same sequence under 2 other names. The record is from RNAcentral.